UGGGGAAUAUUGCACAAUGGGCGAAAGCCUGAUGCAGCAACGCCGCGUGAGUGAUGAAGGCCUUCGGGUUGUAAAGCUCUGUCUUCUGGGACGAUAAUGACGGUACCAGAGGAGGAAGCCACGGCUAACUACGUGCCAGCAGCCGCGGUAAUACGUAGGUGGCAAGCGUUGUCCGGAUUUACUGGGCGUAAAGGAUGCGUAGGCGGAUGCUUAAGUCAGAUGUGAAAUUCCCGGGCUUAACUUGGGAACUGCAUUUGAAACUGGGUAUCUAGAGUGCGGGAGAGGAUAGUGGAAUUCCUAGUGUAGCGGUGAAAUGCGUAGAGAUUAGGAAGAACACCAGUGGCGAAGGCGACUUUCUGGACCGUAACUGACGCUGAGGCAUGAAAGCGUGGGGAGCAAACA
This 402-nucleotide ribosomal RNA is filed under the name uncultured bacterium. RNAcentral's name for it is "bacterial SSU rRNA". It matches the Rfam family "Bacterial small subunit ribosomal RNA", at positions 355 to 774 of the family's 1533-position model. The record is from RNAcentral.